AACGAACGCUGGCGGCGCGUCUUAAGCAUGCAAGUCGAACGGCAAGAGAGGAGCUUGCUUCUCUCCUAGAGUGGCGGACUGGUGAGGAACGCGUGGGUAAUCUACCCUUAAGAUGGGGAUAGCCGCUAGAAAUAGCGGGUAAUACCGAAUAGACUUAUAGCUGAGAAAGAAGUGAUAAGGAAAGGAAGCUAAGGCUUCGCUUAAGGAUGAGCCUGCGUCCCAUUAGCUAGUUGGUAAGGUAACGGCCUACCAAGGCGACGAUGGGUAUCCGGCCUGAGAGGGUGAACGGACACAUUGGGACUGAGAUACGGCCCAAACUCUACGGGAGGCAGCAGCUAAGAAUAUUCCGCAAUGGACGGAAGUCUGACGGAGCGACGCCGCGUGGACGAAGAAGGCUGAAAAGUUGUAAAUUCUUUUGCUGACGAAGAAUAAAGAUAAGAGGGAAUGCUUAUCAGAUGACGGUAGUCGGCGAAUAAGCCCCG
Molecule: ribosomal RNA, 482 nt
Filed under: Treponema sp. oral taxon 232
Lineage: Bacteria; Pseudomonadati; Spirochaetota; Spirochaetia; Treponematales; Treponemataceae
Description: bacterial SSU rRNA
Rfam family: Bacterial small subunit ribosomal RNA
Source: RNAcentral